This 404-nucleotide ribosomal RNA is filed under the name Fusobacteriota bacterium. Its description in RNAcentral is "Fusobacteria bacterium partial 16S ribosomal RNA". It matches the Rfam family "Bacterial small subunit ribosomal RNA", at positions 355 to 776 of the family's 1533-position model. Lineage: Bacteria; Fusobacteriati; Fusobacteriota. The record is from RNAcentral.
UGGGGAAUAUUGCACAAUGGAGGGAACUCUGAUGCAGCGACGCCGCGUGAGUGAUGAAGGAAUUCGUUUCGUAAAAAUCUGUUCUAUGGGAAGAAAAGGACUGUACCAUAGGAGAAAGCUCCGGCUAAAUACGUGCCAGCAGCCGCGGUAAUACGUAUGGAGCGAGCGUUGUCCGGAAUUAUUGGGCGUAAAGGGUGCGCAGGCGGCUUUACAAGUUGGAUGUGAAAUAUUGUUGCUCAACCACAAACGUGCAUCCAAAACUGCAAAGCUUGAGUUAAGGAGAGGUAAGUAGAAUUCCUGGUGUAGCGGUAGAAUGAGUAGAUAGCAGGAGGAAUACCGGUGGCGAAGGCGACUUACUGGACUUAAGCUGACGCUCAGGCACGAAAGCGUGGGGAGCAAACAGG